This 471-nucleotide ribosomal RNA is filed under the name uncultured organism. RNAcentral describes it as "partial 16S ribosomal RNA". It matches the Rfam family "Bacterial small subunit ribosomal RNA", at positions 335 to 797 of the family's 1533-position model. The record is from RNAcentral.
ACUCCUACGGGAGGCAGCAGUGGGGAAUUUUGGACAAUGGGCGAAAGCCUGAUCCAGCCAUGCCGCGUGCAGGAUGAAGGCCUUCGGGUUGUAAACUGCUUUUGUACGGAACGAAACGGCCUUUUCUAAUAAAGAGGGCUAAUGACGGUACCGUAAGAAUAAGCACCGGCUAACUACGUGCCAGCAGCCGCGGUAAUACGUAGGGUGCAAGCGUUAAUCGGAAUUACUGGGCGUAAAGCGUGCGCAGGCGGUUAUGUAAGACAGUUGUGAAAUCCCCGGGCUCAACCUGGGAACUGCAUCUGUGACUGCAUAGCUAGAGUACGGUAGAGGGGGAUGGAAUUCCGCGUGUAGCAGUGAAAUGCGUAGAUAUGCGGAGGAACACCGAUGGCGAAGGCAAUCCCCUGGACCUGUACUGACGCUCAUGCACGAAAGCGUGGGGAGCAAACAGGAUUAGAUACCCCAGUAGUCCCA